UGGAAUCUUGUAUGAAUGGUUGGACAAAGGAAAAACUGUCUUUAUAUAAAAAUUUGAAUUUUACUUUUAAGUGAGAAGGCUUAAAUGUUUUAGUGGGACGAUAAGACCCUAUAAAACUUUACAUUAUAGUUAUAUUUAGUUGAAUUUUAAUGAUAAAAAUUUAAUAUAACAAUUUGUUUUGUUGGGGAGACAGAGGUAAAAAUUAUAUUAACUACUUAAAAAAUAAACAUUAAUUAAUGGGAAAGAAUUAAUAGAUCCUAAGUAGAGAUUGGAAGAUUAAGUUACUUUAGGGAUAACAGUGUAAUUUUUUUUAAGAGUCCAUAUCGAAAAAAAAGUUUACAACCUCGAUGUUGAAUUAAAAUGUCUAUAUAACGCAGCUGUUAUAGCAGAGGGUCUGUUCGACCUUUAAUUUUUUACAUGA
Molecule: ribosomal RNA, 421 nt
Filed under: Sundathelphusa vedeniki
Lineage: Eukaryota; Metazoa; Arthropoda; Malacostraca; Decapoda; Parathelphusidae
Description: partial 16S ribosomal RNA
Rfam family: Bacterial large subunit ribosomal RNA (bases 292-421)
Source: RNAcentral